AGAGUUUGAUCAUGGCUCAGGAUGAACGCUAGCGGCAGGCCUAACACAUGCAAGUCGAGGGGUAACAGAGAGAAGCUUGCUUCUUUGCUGACGACCGGCGCACGGGUGCGUAACGCGUAUACAAUCUACCUUUUGCUGAGGGAUAGCCCAGAGAAAUUUGGAUUAAUACCUCAUAGUAUAUAUGAAUCACAUGGUUUAUAUAUUAAAGGUUACGGCAGAAGAUGAGUAUGCGUUCUAUUAGCUAGAUGGUGUGGUAACGGCACACCAUGGCAACGAUAGAUAGGGGCCCUGAGAGGGGGAUCCCCCACACUGGUACUGAGACACGGACCAGACUCCUACGGGAGGCAGCAGUGAGGAAUAUUGGACAAUGGGCGAGAGCCUGAUCCAGCCAUGCCGCGUGCAGGAAGACUGCCCUAUGGGUUGUAAACUGCUUUUAUACAGGAAGAAACACUCCCUCGUGAGGGAGCCUGACGGUACUGUAAGAAUAAGGAUCGGCUAACUCCGUGCCAGCAGCCGCGGUAAUACGGAGGAUCCAAGCGUUAUCCGGAAUCAUUGGGUUUAAAGGGUCCGUAGGUGGAUAAUUAAGUCAGAGGUGAAAGUCUGCAGCUCAACUGUAGAAUUGCCUUUGAUACUGGUUAUCUUGAAUUAUUAUGAAGUAGUUAGAAUAUGUAGUGUAGCGGUGAAAUGCAUAGAUAUUACAUAGAAUACCAAUUGCGAAGGCAGAUUACUAAUAAUAUAUUGACACUGAUGGACGAAAGCGUGGGGAGCGAACAGGAUUAGAUACCCUGGGUAGUCCACGCCGUAAACGAUGGAUACUAGCUGUUCGGAUUUAUCUGAGUGGC
Molecule: ribosomal RNA, 842 nt
Filed under: uncultured bacterium
Lineage: Bacteria
Description: bacterial SSU rRNA
Rfam family: Bacterial small subunit ribosomal RNA
Source: RNAcentral